This 446-nucleotide ribosomal RNA is filed under the name uncultured organism. RNAcentral's name for it is "partial 16S ribosomal RNA". It matches the Rfam family "Bacterial small subunit ribosomal RNA", at positions 335 to 797 of the family's 1533-position model. The record is from RNAcentral.
ACUCCUACGGGAGGCAGCAGUGGGGAAUAUUGGACAAUGGGCGCAAGCCUGAUCCAGCCAUGCCGCGUGAGUGAUGAAGGCCCUAGGGUUGUAAAGCUCUUUCACCGGUGAAGAUAAUGACGGUAACCGGAGAAGAAGCCCCGGCUAACUUCGUGCCAGCAGCCGCGGUAAUACGAAGGGGGCUAGCGUUGUUCGGAUUUACUGGGCGUAAAGCGCACGUAGGCGGACUAUUAAGUCAGGGGUGAAAUCCCGGGGCUCAACCCCGGAACUGCCUUUGAUACUGGUAGUCUUGAGUUCGAGAGAGGUGAGUGGAAUUCCGAGUGUAGAGGUGAAAUUCGUAGAGAUUCGGAGGAACACCAGUGGCGAAGGCGGCUCACUGGCUCGAUACUGACGCUGAGGUGCGAAAGCGUGGGGAGCAAACAGGAUUAGAAACCCCGGUAGUCCCA